Amphiprion ocellaris (clown anemonefish) is the source of this 704-nucleotide long non-coding RNA. The record is from Ensembl. Lineage: Eukaryota; Metazoa; Chordata; Actinopteri; Pomacentridae.
UGAUCAAAUAAAGUGUUAGCUCACUUUUCUUACUUCCUCAUUCACAUGAAGUGGUUGGUUGUCAGUGAUUAUAUAAAGACCUGUUGUUUUCACACUCUUCAGUGGAUCAGCCAUGGACAAAGGUUUGCUGCUGGUCCUGUUGUGUCUGCAGGUCGUCCUGCUCACCACAGUCUUCACUUCUGCUGAUGCAGCCGCUCUGCUGAGAGAUGAUCAGCAUCAACAACCUGUUGAUCCAAUCAGAAGUCUGCAGCAAGUGAAAAAAGGAGGACAGACGGAGCAGAAACUUCCAUACUGGAUAUUCUGUGGGAGGAGACGAGGAGGAUGCACUUUGACAGGACGUGUGCAACCUCCUGAACCAUCUUUUGACCACAUCAAGUCACACUCAAUAGACAUCUUGAGUCAAGCUCUGCAGGAAGUGCCAUUAGAUGCAAAAGACAGAAAAUGAAUGAAGAUAAUUGUAAUGCUUACAAAUCAAUGCAAGUGCUUUUUAUCAGAAAUAAAAGAUUUCAAAUCAGAUAUUGUGUUUUUCUAUCUUUCUUUUUUUUAACACCUCACAGUUGUGGAUGGUGACCAAAACAAACAGGACUCGCUGUCUUCUGACUGAAUCCUGCAAAAUCUUUCAUAUUACAAAGAGUGACAUUGUGCAAAAUAGGUUGAUUUUGUACCUCAGUUCAAUAUUCUCUAUAACCGAGGGUGAUAUGAAG